This 2719-nucleotide unclassified non-coding RNA is filed under the name Hevea brasiliensis (rubber tree). The record is from RNAcentral. Lineage: Eukaryota; Viridiplantae; Streptophyta; Magnoliopsida; Malpighiales; Euphorbiaceae.
GGCCAAGCCCUUGUCUCCUGUAUUAGCAGACUGGUUUAUUGCUUCCACAUUCCUUGAACACAACCACAGAUUAAGCAUGUUUCUUUGAAAAAUCCUCAUUCCCUUCCACCUUUCACCUUCAACUCAGAAAAGUAAACACCAUAUUUCCAGUUGAUCCCACCAAAUAACAAAUUAAGUAUAUCUCCUAGAAUUACCUUCUCCUUCAUCCCUUACAAAAACAAACACAAUUUCAAAUUGAACAACCAAUAUUCUAACCAUUAGAAUUCUAAAGCUAACUUCUUAUUGAGCCCAAAACUCUAAUCUUCAAGAAAAUUAAUUGCAACCAAAAUAUUGCCAUCACAACUCAUGCCAGAAUAGUAAAUCUUAUGCACUUAGGAUGAGACGCAAACAUUCAUCCUCUCUCAUAUGAUACCAGGAAAGGAAAAUUUUAUUUUCUUUCCCCAACUCCAAAGAGCCCAGAUGUUUAAUAUCUGCAGUAUUCUACAUAAUUUGGCUAUAUCUACUACAAUAUAAUGGAAAAAUAAGGAAGUACAAAAUAUUGUCAUUAAUUAAACUAGAGGCAUUGAAAUGUGAAAACCUAUUAUGGUAAAUAACCUUCAACCAAUGCAGAGUAGUGAAAGAAGAAAGCUCUCCCAGCCAUUAAAUUGAGUUUGAGUUUAGCAAGUAAAAUACAACAACACGAGUUGACCCCAUAUAAGAGAAUUGCUAUAAGGGGUUGCAACUUAACUGCGGAUAAUUUUCCAGUCGUUUUACCAAAAUUGAGAGUCGAACCAUCCAUUGGUUUUAUAGUCUGAGUGACUUAAGAUAUUGCAGAAUCUUUCCAUCCAGACUUUGCUAUUGGAAUAUGCUUGUUCAUUUUGCUUGGUGAGCUCAUUCAGUAUUGAUGAGAUUUAGCCAGAUGCUUGAGUAGAACAAAACAAGAAAAAACAGAGAAAGCACAUAAAAAAAAGAAGGGCUAAAUACCUUGCAGGGUAAAACUAAUUAUAAGCAUUUUAAUAUCUGGAGUUUGAAAAAAGUCAGCUGUAGGAAAAAAAAAAAAAACAUUUCUCUUACCUUGUCAUACAGCAAAUUGAAUUUUCCUGCAGGUAGAUUCAUAGAAUAUGAAUUGAAGUAUCAAACCCUGAGAAUCUGCAGCUUGGUAGAGAAGGCAAUAGCAACCCAAUCAGGCUGAGAAGAAGACCAUUGCAGCUGCUCAAUUUCAGCCCCUGCAGUGUAAGCCAGAAUGGGAUCCAAUCCACCCUCAACGGGCUGGCCCAUGGAGGAGAGGUCCCAAAUCAGGGCCUGGGAAUCAUCCCCAGCAGUGCAAAUGUGGCAAGAGCUAUGUGGAGCCCAAGCAAUGGCAUUGACGCUAGCAUGGUGCCUCUGCAACUCCACCACAGGGAGAGUCGGGAAGCGGAUGUCCAGAACCACCACCUUGGCACUGUCCAUGAUGAUCGUAGCCAUGUACCUCGGAUCCUGCUUAUUCCAUCCUAGUCGCACCAAGGGGGUGUCAGGUUCCGAGCUUUCGUAGAUGAUGGUGGAAUGCUCCUUAUCGCGAAGAUCGAAAACCCUAACGGAGCCGUCGGCGGAGACGGAGGCGAAAACACCGACGCCGCCCCAGGCGAUGUCAUAAACCUCCUUAUCGUGAGCGAUGAGCUGAGUGUCGACGGUCUCACGUUCGAUGUCCCAGAUGGUGCAGGUAGUGUCAAUGCUCGAAGUGCCGAUGCGCUUGGGGUCCGCCUCAUUCCAGUCGAAGGAAGUGAGAGGCCCACAAAACUCGCUGCUCUUGUUACCAUUAAGCACGCUCUUAAGCUCGACGCGCGACUGGUCAUCGCCAAUACGCCACAAGCGGAGGAAAUCACUGGAAGUGGCCAAGAGGUCAGGCUUCUGGCACUCCUUAUCAGGAAUGAACAUGGUCUUGGUGGGCGGAUAGGGGUGCUCGAAAGAAAGGUUGGGGUCGGAGCGGAUCUCGCCGUUGGAAUCAUCGAGCUGGACAAUCUCGACCCUGUUAGGGUACUGCUCGAGGAGGCUGGCGAUGGCGAGGCGGUACUUCUUGUCUCGGCGGACGCUCCAGUUCAUGGCGUAGAUGUGCCAGGGGGCUUCGUAGGUGUAGAUCUCCGACCGCUUCUGCUGCUCAUCGGACCCGUCUUGAUUCGGAUCACUGCUCGCACCCAUAAUUGUUUUUUGUUUUCGCUUCCCCUUCUCCUUUGGGUUAUGGAAUCUGAUAAUUCCUAAUUGAAAAGCGCAAGCGGUAGAGACGAAACUGGUGUGGUUUUCUGAAUUUUGAGAAGGAAAAUUGCGUUUUUUAUUUUUAUUUUAUAUUAUUUUAAUAGGCGUGACACCAUUCUUGGAGAGCAAUGCCAAGCUAUUAUUUUUUCUCUCUUUUGCAACUAAAUACAAUUUCUUGUGUUUAUUUAUUAUAAUUUUAAUUAAUUUUAGCCUAUUUAAUAUUUAAUAAUUAGAAUUUUUCUAGUCAUAUGAAAAUCAUUAUUAAGGAUACGUUUGGUUAAAAUGAAUUCCACAAAAUUGUGAAAUUCAAGUAUUCAACUGAAUUUCAUGUUUUGCAUGUUUGGUUUGAAGAAAAAAAAAUGUAGAUGUCAAUUCUGCAAAUUCAAUUCUAUGAAAUUGAACGUACCUAAAAUCAAAUUCUAUCAAAUAAGUGGAAUUUCAAAUGAAAUCCACAAAAUUAAGACAAUGGCAUUUUUGGACCCAAAUGCCCAUCUCUCUCUCUCUCUCUCUC